This 292-nucleotide ribosomal RNA is filed under the name uncultured bacterium. RNAcentral's name for it is "partial 16S ribosomal RNA". It matches the Rfam family "Bacterial small subunit ribosomal RNA", at positions 505 to 796 of the family's 1533-position model. The record is from RNAcentral.
GUGCCAGCCGCCGCGGUAAUACGUAGGUGGCGAGCGUUAUCCGGAUUUACUGGGUGUAAAGGGCGUGUAGGCGGGUCUGCAAGUCGGGUGUGAAAUAUCCGGGCUUAACCCGGGGGGGUCAUCCGAAACUGCAGAUCUUGAGUACUGGAGAGGAUAGUGGAAUUCCUAGUGUAGCGGUAAAAUGCGUAGAUAUUAGGAGGAACACCAGUGGCGAAGGCGGCUAUCUGGACAGUAACUGACGCUGAGGCGCGAAAGCGUGGGGAGCAAACAGGAUUAGAAACCCUCGUAGUCC